UACAUUAAUGAGGAAAAAAAUGAACUUAAAUGAUUUUAGCAAAUGGCUGCAAUAUAACAAAGAGUGAAAAAUUUAAGGGGUCUGAAUACUUUCCGUACCCACUGUAUUAUUAUGAAAACAUACAUCAUUAUUUGAACUCAUUUUCACUGAAGAUAUUUCAGAGCAUUCUUGAACCAUUUAGUGAUUAAUUGUUCAUAUUGAUUAAUUGUGAAAUAUUUUUGUUUAUGUUUGUCAGUCUGAUGAGACACUAGUCUUUGACUUUAUAUGAACAUCUCUCAGUGUGGAUGAAGCAUUUUCAGCUUUCAGUGCCGCUGUAGAAAUAAUCUAUUCACUCUCAUGAUUCAUUUAUAUAAGGUGAAUGUUUCUGAUAAUAUGUGACCAAGAUAAAGUGAGCAGAAUUCAGCUGGUCAUGUGAUCUCAACAUGGUGGCCACCAUAAGGAGGACAAAAGAUUUUUUGAAAUGACUGGAGAGUCAUGAGUGUAGAUCAUUUUAAACAUAUUCGUCACACACAAUAAUUAUUUCUUUAUGAACACAUUAAUGUACUUCAUCUUUAAAAACAUGAUAACAAUGAGAAAGCAAGUACUAAAUAAAUCAAUUUUACAGUUUGGUGUCCAUCAGGACUCAUGACACUAGUCAUAGUGUCAAGUCAUGUGACACUAGAUUAAACAAUGUUCAUAUGAAAUGUUCAGAAUUAUUGAUUAAUUAAUUUAAAGCUGCAGGUUUUUCUGUGAAUCAUGAUGAUUGAGCUUCAUAUGAAGAACAGAAGAUCAUUAUGAGAAACUCCACAACAUCAUCCAUGAUAAAAGAGGUCACCUCUGAGGUCACAGAUCAUAAAAUAUAUUUCUUUAAACAGUGUUAUAUCAGCACAGGACUAGAGAAUGAAUGAGAAAUAUAGGAUAGAAAGUCAAACUGUGUGAUAUCUGUUGUAGAUGAUAAACUCUUCAACUGUUUUUCAAGCAAUAAUAACAUUUUAACUUGUUUGUGUGAAAGUGUGUUUGUUUGUUUGUUUUGAAAAUCAUUUCAUCCAAACUGAAUGUGUGAGUGUUGAGAAGAUGUGAGUUUCUUCUAAUAUCAGUGUGUUGAAGUGUUGUUUCUCUCUCUCUGCUGGAGUUUGUGUUCACUCGAGUGGAAUAGAGGUUUUUGUACGACCGUUUCAUUAGAUUGUAUCACUGUGGUGCACAUUCGGUGGAGGAACUAAACUGGCGCUCGCUGGUCCCACAGUGAAGCCCUCAGUGUCUCUGCUGCCGCCCUCUUCUCUGCAGAUCUCUGGAGACUCAGCCGCACUGCUCUGCCUGCUCAGCUCUUACUCUCCACAGGGGGCGCUGGUGAGCUGGACACUGGACGGGUCAGAGGUCACCGAGGGGGUCGUGACCAGCGCGGAGAGCCAGCGGGACGGCCGCUACAGCCGCAGUAGCGUCCUGACCCUCAGCAAAGCACGCUGGGAAGAGGGAGAGGUGUACGUCUGCAGAGUAACACAUGAUGGAGCUCCUCAUGAGGUCUCGUUCCACAAGAGCUCUGAGUGCUGAUGUUUCUCUCCUGAAGAUGAGCCGUAUCUGAGUGUCCUGUGUCAGGCAGGAUUCACAUGAGUCUAGUGCUGCAGCUGUAGUGAUUUACAACUCAAUACUGAAAGAGAGCUGGCGUGUCAAAGCACUGUGUGAUCUUUCAAUCUGCUGUAACAUUCAAUAAAGCUUCUCAACAAGUUCA
Megalobrama amblycephala (Wuchang bream) is the source of this 1705-nucleotide long non-coding RNA. RefSeq lists it as uncharacterized. The transcript is spliced from 2 exons. The record is from RefSeq and is a predicted model, not a curated record. Lineage: Eukaryota; Metazoa; Chordata; Actinopteri; Cypriniformes; Xenocyprididae.